Amphiprion ocellaris (clown anemonefish) is the source of this 761-nucleotide long non-coding RNA. The record is from Ensembl. Lineage: Eukaryota; Metazoa; Chordata; Actinopteri; Pomacentridae.
CUCGUCUUCAGCGGCGACCAACGGUUUUCUGAAGCUCCUCAGCGACAUUUGGUCUACUUUUAAAAUCUUCUUUGUGAUUUCAGUGAAUAGGUAGGAUAAACAACGUAAUUAACAAUGCAGCACCUGGCACUCCUGAAUCCCUUCAAGUGGUUCAGUUUUGGAACAAAGAGGGCACUCACCAGACAGAUUGAGAAGCAGCAGGAGCAGCUCCAAAUGGCCCAAAAGCAACAUGUCGAUCAGGAGGAGAAGAUCAGUGAGCUCAAUAGAGCCAUCAUCCUUCAUUAUGAAAAGACGCUUCGAAAACAAACAUCUUUAUUCUGCCAGUCCUCAUGAAGUGCAACCAAACAAGAGACAGACCCUCAACACAUUAAGCCUCCACUUUGGGACAUCUGCUUUCCAGAGAGCGUCGCCAGUGGAGCCACUCGGGUUUUACUGUGUCACAUCUCAGGCUUUUACCAGACUAGAUGGCUGCUUACAUGCCACUUAGCAGCUCCAUUAUCUUCCUGAGACAAUGCUUCAUCACUGGAUUAGACUUUAAUUGGCUGAAUUAGCCGACUGCCUGCCCCCCCGGCUCUGCAGCAGCUGUGAUCCUAAACAACUCAGACGCCACCGACAGUCAGCAAGGUAUGAAUGGAAACAUGUUUUGGAAACUAGUGAACUUUAGAAUAAUAAUAUAAUCCAACACUUGCUUGUAAUUAUGCUGCUGUGGUUGCUUUUGUUGACCAAAAUGGAACAAAUCUAGAUAAGUGAGCCAAAUGACA